This 444-nucleotide ribosomal RNA is filed under the name uncultured bacterium. RNAcentral describes it as "SSU rRNA". It matches the Rfam family "Bacterial small subunit ribosomal RNA", at positions 26 to 518 of the family's 1533-position model. The record is from RNAcentral.
AGAACGAACGCUGGCGGCAUGCCUAACACAUGCAAGUCGAACGAGACCUUCGGGUCUAGUGGCGCACGGGUGCGUAACGCGUGGGAAUCUGCCCUUAGGUACGGAAUAACAGUGAGAAAUUACUGCUAAUACCGUAUGAUGUCUUCGGACCAAAGAUUUAUCGCCUAGGGAUGAGCCCGCGUUGGAUUAGCUAGUUGGUGGGGUAAAGGCCUACCAAGGCGACGAUCCAUAGCUGGUCUGAGAGGAUGAUCAGCCACACUGGGACUGAGACACGGCCCAGACUCCUACGGGAGGCAGCAGUGGGGAAUAUUGGACAAUGGGCGAAAGCCUGAUCCAGCAAUGCCGCGUGAGUGAAGAAGGCCUUAGGGUUGUAAAGCUCUUUUACCCGGGAAGAUAAUGACUGUACCGGAGAAUAAGCCCGGCUAACUCCGUGCCAGCAGCCGC